GAUGGCGGAUUUCCAAUCCGAGGUCCCAGCACCUUUUUAUGCUAGAAAAUUCCAGGUUGUUUAGAUCUCUCUCACCUUUCAAUGCUCUUCCUUCCAGCCUAGGGUUAAAGCAUGGCGAGCAGGAGGCGAGACGUUUUGGCCUCGUGGGCGAUGGAACCAAGCUGCCGGUAAGGGCUAUCGCUGCGUUUUGGAAGCUGGAUCGCUGGAUCCCGCGACUCUGUGUAUUGGCGACGAUGUGCUGCUCGCGGAUGCAACUGGAACCGAUGCAACUGGAACCUCCAUCUUCGACGUGGAAUCCAUCCGGCAGAUGGCAGUCAGGAGUGGCCUGGGCGAUGGCAGCUCCAAAGACGCAGCCAUGCCCAUCAAUGGGACGAUCAUCAUCGCUGAAGAAGAAGAAGAAAUACAAAUACCAAAUUAGGCAGAGAUGAGCCGCAAGCGUUACCUGGUGCUCGAGGCCGAGGCGAGCAAGUUCAUCGGCUGGUUCUAUCGCGUGGGUCGCCAGGACGACGAGGAGCUCGACGCCACAAACAGGUGUGGAAUGGUGACGCUGGUGAGGCCGGAUGGAACUUGCGUCACGAGCUACGCUUGCAUGAAAAAGAAGGCGGAGGAGGAAUCCGAUGGCAAGCGCUACGUUGUGUGCGUGGACGACUGCGUAGCAGAGGUGGCGGGCGGAGUGGGAGUUUUAACUCCCGCGCAGGGAUGCUCCCAGAGCUUCUCGGCCUGCGCGGUGGUGGCGCCGAUGCCAGGGCCGUGGGGGCCAGGAUCGAGUGUGGAGCGCCAGUGAUGACUCCCAGGGGUAGCUUGACGGGCGUGGUGGUGGGAUUUGGGAAGCUCAGGAAUGACAAGAGGAGGUCCAAGAAACUAAAGCCGCCAUACAAUUUUCCCAUCACCAAGGGAGACUUUGGGCCCUUCUUGGAAGGAGUGCCGGAAUCCAUCGCCAAAGGCAGAUUGCAUGGCCGGGGUGGAGGUGAAUUGCUUGGUGUACUACAAUACCGUCGAAGGCAAGAUUAGCUUCCCAGCUAUUGAAUGGAGGGUAUGUUCCUACUAUUAUGAUCCUUGACAGUCAACUUACACACUUAGGUGCAGGACAAGAACUACUUCAAAGCAGAUGGUACAAUUGUUCGGUUAAGCUGCCUGGAACACCGUGAUCGAAUCCUUCGCCCUCGCGGGAUUGGUAGACGCGCUCGAUAGGGAUCAAGCCCGAUGGAUCCACGCUUUAGGACUCAAUUCUUCCUGGGGAUUCGGCCUCGAUCCGGGGAAAGAACACUAUAGCUACCUUGUAUUCCAUGGCGGCUGGAUUGGAGGGAGCGGCGGAGAAUGUGGUGCCCCGGAGUGGAGCGCCAUACGUGAUCUUGUCGAGCGCCAUCGCUGUGGAAUCCUUGAGACAAUAGGAUAUACUGUAUAGGAUAAAACAAUUGUCAUUAUUC
Selaginella moellendorffii is the source of this 1427-nucleotide RNA transcript. RefSeq lists it as uncharacterized. The record is from RefSeq and is a predicted model, not a curated record. Lineage: Eukaryota; Viridiplantae; Streptophyta; Lycopodiopsida; Selaginellales; Selaginellaceae. The transcript is spliced from 2 exons.